Molecule: ribosomal RNA, 254 nt
Filed under: uncultured bacterium
Lineage: Bacteria
Description: partial 16S ribosomal RNA
Rfam family: Bacterial small subunit ribosomal RNA
Source: RNAcentral
UACGUAGGGACCGAGCGUUGUCCGGAAUCAUUGGGCGUAAAGAGCGUGUAGGCGGCUUGCUAAGUCUUGCGUGAAAUCCCGGAGCUCAACUCCGGAACUGCCUUUCAUACUGGCAAUCUAGAGUCCGGAAGAGGUGAGUGGAACUCCUAGUGUAGAGGUGGAAUUCGUAGAUAUUAGGAAGAACACCAGUGGCGAAGGCGGCUCACUGGUCCGGUACUGACGCUGAGGUGCGAAAGCGUGGGGAGCAAACAGGG